UACCCUCCUUCUAAAUUCGAUAUAUGAGUAUUAAUUUACUUGUAUAUGGUUUUAGACGUUUACUGUGAGAAAAUUAGAGUGUUCAAAGCAGGCAUUUGCUUGAAUAUAUUAGCAUGGAAUAAUCAUGUAUGAUUUUCAUGAUGUAUUUGAUUGGUUUGGUUCAUGAGAAUAAGAUUAAAAGGGACAGUUGGGGGUAUUCAUAUUCAAUAGUCAGAGGUGAAAUUCUCGGAUUUAUGGAAGAUGAACAAGUGCGAAAGCAUUUACCAAGGAUGUUUUCAUUAAUCAAGAACGAAAGUUAGGGGAUCGAAGAGGAUUAGAUACCCUCGUAGUCUUAACUAUAAACGAUACCGACUAGAGGUUAGUGAAGGUCAUUGUGUCUUGACUAGUAUCUUAUGAG
This 397-nucleotide ribosomal RNA is filed under the name Blastocystis sp. subtype 3. RNAcentral's name for it is "SSU rRNA". It matches the Rfam family "Eukaryotic small subunit ribosomal RNA", at positions 693 to 1094 of the family's 1831-position model. The record is from RNAcentral. Lineage: Eukaryota; Bigyra; Opalinata; Blastocystidae.